ACCUGGCUGGCUCAGUCGGUAGAGCAUGCGACUCUUGAUCUCAGUCGUGGGUUCAAGCCCCAUGUUGGGUG
Molecule: transfer RNA, 71 nt
Filed under: Ailuropoda melanoleuca (giant panda)
Lineage: Eukaryota; Metazoa; Chordata; Mammalia; Carnivora; Ursidae
Rfam family: tRNA
About the family: Transfer RNA (tRNA) molecules are approximately 80 nucleotides in length.
Source: Rfam by way of RNAcentral